CGCGGCCUAUCAGCUUGUUGGUGAGGUAAUGGCUUACCAAGGCGACGACGGGUAGCCGGCCUGAGAGGGCGACCGGCCACACUGGGACUGAGGCACGGCCCAGACUCCUACGGGAGGCAGCAGUGGGGAAUAUUGCACAAUGGGGGAAACCCUGAUGCAGCGACGCCGCGUGCGGGAUGAAGGCCUUCGGGUUGUAAACCGCUUUCAGCAGGGACGAAAGUGACGGUACCUGCAGAAGAAGCACCGGCUAACUACGUGCCAGCAGCCGCGGUAAUACGUAGGGUGCAAGCGUUGUCCGGAAUUAUUGGGCGUAAAGAGUUCGUAGGCGGCUUGUCGCGUCCGUUGUGAAAGCUUGGGGCUCAACCCCAAGUCUGCAGUGGAUACGGGCAGGCUAGAGUCAGGUAGGGGAGAACGGAAUUCCUGGUGUAGCGGUGAAAUGCGCAGAUAUCAGGAGGAACACCGGUGGCGAAGGCGGUUCUCUGGGCCUGUACUGACGCUGAGGAACGAAAGCGUGGGGAGCGAACAGGAUUAGAUACCCUGGUAGUCCACGCCGUAAACGGUGGGCGCUAGAUGUGGGGACCUUCCACGGUUUCUGCGUCGCAGCUAACGCAUUAAGCGCCCCGCCUGGGGAGUACG
RNAcentral lists this ribosomal RNA (636 nucleotides) under uncultured bacterium. Its description in RNAcentral is "bacterial SSU rRNA". It matches the Rfam family "Bacterial small subunit ribosomal RNA", at positions 232 to 884 of the family's 1533-position model. The record is from RNAcentral.